This 436-nucleotide ribosomal RNA is filed under the name Biomphalaria straminea. Its description in RNAcentral is "partial 16S ribosomal RNA". It matches the Rfam family "Bacterial large subunit ribosomal RNA", at positions 1840 to 2620 of the family's 2925-position model. Lineage: Eukaryota; Metazoa; Mollusca; Gastropoda; Planorbidae. The record is from RNAcentral.
GAAGGAAUCGUCAUGAUUCUGCCCAGUGAUUUUUUUUUAAAUGGCCGCAGUACCUUGACUGUGCUAAGGUAGCAUAAUCAAUUGGCUUCUAAUUAAAGUCUGGAAUGAAAGGAAAUAUGAAGUAAUUCUAUCUUAAAGGAUUUUUUUUGAAUUUAUUUAAAUGAUGAAAAUAUCAUUUUAUAGAAAAAAGACGAGAAGACCCUUAGAGUUUUGAUAUUUAUAUAUUUUUGUUGGGGCGACAGGUAAACAUAUAACUUUACGAAUUAUCAUUGAUCGAUUUUUUAUAAGAAUAAUAAAACUACCUUAGGGAUAACAGCAUUAUAUUUUUUUUUAUGAUUGUGACCUCGAUGUUGGACUAGGAACUUUAUGGCUAGCCGUCAAAAAAGAUUUGUUCUGUUCGAACAAUUUUAUCCUACGUGAUCUGAUUCAGACCGGA